UUAAAUUGAAGAGUUUGAUCAUGGCUCAGAUUGAACGCUGGCGGCAGGCCUAACACAUGCAAGUCGAGCGGUAGCACAGAGAGCUUGCUCUCGGGUGACGAGCGGCGGACGGGUGAGUAAUGUCUGGGAAACUGCCUGAUGGAGGGGGAUAACUACU
RNAcentral lists this ribosomal RNA (157 nucleotides) under Klebsiella quasipneumoniae. RNAcentral's name for it is "16S rRNA. Bacterial SSU". It matches the Rfam family "Bacterial small subunit ribosomal RNA", at positions 1 to 151 of the family's 1533-position model. The record is from RNAcentral. Lineage: Bacteria; Pseudomonadati; Pseudomonadota; Gammaproteobacteria; Enterobacterales; Enterobacteriaceae.